Ipomoea nil (Japanese morning glory) is the source of this 628-nucleotide long non-coding RNA. RefSeq lists it as uncharacterized. The record is from RefSeq and is a predicted model, not a curated record. Lineage: Eukaryota; Viridiplantae; Streptophyta; Magnoliopsida; Solanales; Convolvulaceae. The transcript is spliced from 3 exons.
GUAGUAUCCAACACUUGUGCCGGGAAGCUUCUGCAUGCCUUCUGGGUCGUGGUCAACUAGCGAUAUGAUGGAGUUGCAGCUCAGGGAAUUCUAGCAGACGACUGUGAAUGGUGGUCUGUGUGUUCUCCUAAUCUUUGAGUUUAGUUUUUAUGGAUUCCCUGAAAUGGAUUGGUUUCCAAAUCUUAAGAAAAAUGAAGAAAUUGAAGCCCAAAUGUUAUGAAAACUCUGAUUCGGAAGAAAUUAGUUUUGCGGAGGAGUCUGUGGAGUAUGAUUUCAUCACUAUUCAGAAUGCAACAAAUAACUUCUCCCAGACAAACAAGAUAGGAGAAGGAGGUUUUGGUGUUAUGUACAAGGUAAAUUUAGCAUUUACUUUAAUAUGGUUAUUAUCGUUUCCUCUGUUUCCGCUUUGGACUAAUAUUUUUACUGCAUUUAAUAAGCCGCAUUUGUUUCUACCCUGUUUCAGCCAAUUUAUAGUUCCAUGAUUUUGUAUGUUUAGCAUGCUUGAACAAUUUUAAAACUUCUUGCUUCCUUCUGUCUUCUUUAAACUCUCUGUAUCACAUGUUCUACAUCAUAGCAUAUAGAUAUAAUACACUUUUGAUUUUCUAAAAGUCAAUAGUUAAUUUUUUUU